AGUUUUGAUCCGGAUAUAAAAGAUGGUAACUUUAUCUCGAAUCUCAAUUCUGUAACGUUCUCUUUCAUUCUCAAAAUGAGGACUUUCUAUCUCAUAGUUGCAUUUACUGUGGCGUUGUUUUUCUUUUCUGUGAGUGGUUCGCCGGUGAAUUCUACAACAACAGCUGUACCAGAAUAUGACGAACUGGAGUUCGUGAAAAUUUCUAAUAUUGUGAACGUUCCUUGUAGAAAAGGAUUUCGGAGGAUUCGCAACAAGUGCCGACCUACUUCUUGAAUAUUUUUUUAACAAAUGGUGAUGAUGAUGACGGCAAGGUUUUGCUAAUGUUGACGUUAUGAAAUAAUGCACUUCUAUAGAUUUUCUUGAUUAGCAUAAUUAUAGACGCAAAAUUCUUUACUUUUCGUCAAUCAAGUUGGUAUAAUCAGUAAAUGAUUGUACCUACCUAUCUAAAAAUAAAAAGAUAUUUUUAUAUUUCACAGGAAUUGACAAAUCAUCAUUGACUGUUGAUUUGAAUUCAUAAUGAAUUUUGUUUAUGCAAUGGUUUUGUUCUUGUUCUAUAAUUUUCAAUACAGUUUUUCCUUCGA
Molecule: long non-coding RNA, 581 nt
Organism: Leptinotarsa decemlineata (Colorado potato beetle)
Lineage: Eukaryota; Metazoa; Arthropoda; Insecta; Coleoptera; Chrysomelidae
Source: RefSeq, a predicted model, not a curated record